RNAcentral lists this ribosomal RNA (468 nucleotides) under uncultured bacterium. Its description in RNAcentral is "partial 16S ribosomal RNA". It matches the Rfam family "Bacterial small subunit ribosomal RNA", at positions 28 to 507 of the family's 1533-position model. The record is from RNAcentral.
GACGAACGCUGGCGGCGUGCUUAACACAUGCAAGUCGAACGGAAAGGCCCUGCUUUUGUGGUGUACUCGGGUGGCGAACGGGUGAGACACACGUGAGUAACCUGCCCUUGCCUUUGGGAUAACUUCAGGAAACUGGGGCUACUACCGGUUAGGAGCUCCUGCUGCAUGGUGGGGUUUGGAAGGUUUCGGCGGUUGGGGUUGGACUCGCGGCUUAGCAGGUUGUCGGUGGGGUAGUGGCUUACCAAGUCUGUGACGGGUAGCCGGCCUGAGAGGGUGACCGGCCACAUUGGGACUGAGAUUCGGCGCAGAAUCCUACGGGAGGCAGCAGUGGUGAAUAGUGGACAAUGGGCGGAAGCCUGAGGCAGCAACGCCGCGUGCGGGAUUACGGCCUUCGGGUGGUAAACCGCUUUCGCCUGUGACGAAGCGUGAGUGACGGUAAUGGGUAAAGAAGCACCGGCUAACUACGUG